RNAcentral lists this ribosomal RNA (497 nucleotides) under uncultured bacterium. RNAcentral's name for it is "partial 16S ribosomal RNA". It matches the Rfam family "Bacterial small subunit ribosomal RNA", at positions 28 to 507 of the family's 1533-position model. The record is from RNAcentral.
GACGAACGCUGGCGGCGUGCCUAAUACAUGCAAGUUGAGCGCUGAAGGUUGGUACUUGUACCAACUGGAUGAGCAGCGAACGGGUGAGUAACGCGUGGGGAAUCUGCCUUUGAGCGGGGGACAACAUUUGGAAACGAAUGCUAAUACCGCAUAAAAACUUUAAACACAAGUUUUAAGUUUGAAAGAUGCGAUUGCAUCACUCAAAGAUGAUCCCGCGUUGUAUUAGCUAGUUGGUGAGGUAAAGGCUCACCAAGGCGAUGAUACAUAGCCGACCUGAGAGGGUGAUCGGCCACAUUGGGACUGAGACACGGCCCAAACUCCUACGGGAGGCAGCAGUAGGGAAUCUUCGGCAAUGGACGAAAGUCUGACCGAGCAACGCCGCGUGAGUGAAGAAGGGUUUCGGAUCGUAAAACUCUGUUGGUAGAGAAGAACGUUGGUGAGAGUGGAAAGCUCAUCAAGUGACGGUAACUACCCAGAAAGGGACGGCUAACUACGUG